UAUUAGGUUGGUGCAAAAGUAAUUGCGGUCUUUGCCAUUAAAAGUAAUGGCAAACUGCAAUUACUAUUGCACCAGCUUAAUAU
MicroRNA precursor from Cercocebus atys (sooty mangabey), 83 nucleotides. NCBI's taxonomy places the organism in Eukaryota, Metazoa, Chordata, Mammalia, Primates, Cercopithecidae. The record is from Ensembl.